This 392-nucleotide ribosomal RNA is filed under the name uncultured bacterium. Its description in RNAcentral is "bacterial SSU rRNA". It matches the Rfam family "Bacterial small subunit ribosomal RNA", at positions 28 to 423 of the family's 1533-position model. The record is from RNAcentral.
GACGAACGCUGGCGGCGUGCUUAACACAUGCAAGUCGAGCGGUAAGGCCCUUUCGGGGGUACACGAGCGGCGAACGGGUGAGUAACACGUGGGUGACCUGCCUUUAGCUCUGGGAUAAGCCUGGGAAACUGGGUCUAAUACCGGAUAUGACUCCGCGGUGCAUGCUGUGGGGUGGAAAGCCUUGUGCGGCUGGAGAUGGGCCCGCGGCCUAUCAGCUUGUUGGUGGGGUGAUGGCCUACCAAGGCGACGACGGGUAGCCGGCCUGAGAGGGCGACCGGCCACACUGGGACUGAGACACGGCCCAGACUCCUACGGGAGGCAGCAGUGGGGAAUCUUGCGCAAUGGGCGAAAGCCUGACGCAGCGACGCCGCGUGAGGGAUGACGGCCUCGGU